GGGCUCGAUGGAGCGCGCGUACGUGUUCUCCCCUCUCCCUCGUGAAGGCCGGUGAGGCGACAGCGAGAGAAUUCAUUAACUAGGUCGUUUUCUCCAUUGAAUUCCGUCUCAUCCCGGCAACAGGGCGCAGCUGCCCGCCUGCCCGUGACGUGCGCACAGGAUCCAGUCUUUUCCCCCGGAUCAGGGAUACAAAAAUGCUACACUUACGGGCACUUUGGCCUGUCAUGGAUAUCUUGCGUGUGCUCGUCUCGGUUUUAAUUCAGUUUUAGUCGCCGCCUGGCUUGCUGGUCCAUGCACGGAAGCUGUUGGAUCGUUGAACCUUCUUCUUCUUCUUCUUCUUCUUCUUCUUCUUCUUCUUCUUCUUCUUCUUCUUCUUCUUCUUGGUUGUGGCAGGGGAGAGGAGAGCAGAGAGAGGCAGGCGCGCGAUGUCAAUGCCGUGGGCGAUGACCGUGUCCGUCGUGGACAUGGUGUGGGAGGUCCUGGUGGUGUGGGUGUCGUCCUGCCUCGCCGGCGCCACCGCCGUCGCGCGCGCCUUCCGGACAGGGGACCUCGUCGGAUCCUUCCGGCCCGGCAUCUGACGCUCCUCGCUGUCUCCCUUCCUGCAGAUCCAUCGCUCCCUCCCGUCGCUGCGGUGCUGCUUCCGUCGGCGAUCAAGCGCGUAGCUCUCGAUCCGUCAGGUCGCUGCAACAGCAUCAUUGUUUUUGUUUAGUAUAGUUUUGUGUGUGUCUAUUAUAUCACGCGGUGGCAGUGUAACAUUGGAAGACAUUCUUCUUCUUCUUCUUCUAUUUCUAUUCUUUCAUUGAUGUACAUACAUAACAAUUAAUAAUACUGGUGGUGAUGUUGGAAAUUAGUGGAAUGGUUCAAUGAUUAA
This is a long non-coding RNA of Triticum aestivum (bread wheat), 871 nucleotides long. RefSeq lists it as uncharacterized. The transcript is spliced from 2 exons. The record is from RefSeq and is a predicted model, not a curated record. NCBI's taxonomy places the organism in Eukaryota, Viridiplantae, Streptophyta, Magnoliopsida, Poales, Poaceae.